GUUCGCCGGAAAGAUUCAUCAAUCAAAUCGACUGGAAUCAACCAGCCGCCGCAGCUCCGGCCACCGCCAUUCAUUCUUCUUCAGGUUUCUUCUUCGUCGACUUUUCCUUUACACCACUAGAUCUGAGUGACGUAGAUUAGGUCCGUCGCGGAGCUUGGUUGCGUGCAGUCGCUGCUUCCUUUAUACUCGGCGGUUUCAUCAGCGCGCCUCACUUCUUGCCUCGGAAUCGAUUCGACGAGUUCGAGAUCUUUGUCUCAGGGUUUCUGCAAAUGAGGUUCAAUUGUUAAAUUCUGUGAAUUCAAAGCUACCAUUCUUAGUUACUACAGCAGAUGAUGCAAAAGAUUCUCUUAAAGAGGAAAUCCGUUUGAGGAUGCUAUUGAGAAGCUAUUGAUAUGAGAAAUUGCUAUCGGUAUGACGGGCUUCUUGCGUUUGCUGAGUGCUCCUUGAGGCUUUGACUGGACGAGUUGUGUUCAACUAGGAAAGGCUCUUUAUUGUAAAAUUUUAAGGAUAUAAUAUUUUUGAAGUUGUAUUGUAAAAUUUUAAAUAUAUAAUUUUUUUUUAUGUAGUUCUAAUUUUCAUAAUAUGAAUUUUAGUUAUUUAGUUUUACAUUGGUUGAAAAUGAGUUGUAAAGCAUUUUUA
Vicia villosa (hairy vetch) is the source of this 639-nucleotide long non-coding RNA. RefSeq lists it as uncharacterized. The transcript has 4 exons. Lineage: Eukaryota; Viridiplantae; Streptophyta; Magnoliopsida; Fabales; Fabaceae. The record is from RefSeq and is a predicted model, not a curated record.